CUCUCUUGUGAUGUUCAAAUUCUCCAAACGUUCUGUAACUACAACGAUACCCACCUGGCUGGAAGAUCUUGGAAGCAUAUUAGAUCAAUCUGACAACGGGAAGGUGCUUAAAUUUCAAUUUCUAAUUUUGACCCAAAUAAAUAAAAAACAAAUUCCG
Bombyx mori (domestic silkworm) is the source of this 157-nucleotide long non-coding RNA. RefSeq lists it as uncharacterized. The transcript is spliced from 2 exons. NCBI's taxonomy places the organism in Eukaryota, Metazoa, Arthropoda, Insecta, Lepidoptera, Bombycidae. The record is from RefSeq and is a predicted model, not a curated record.